UAUAGUAGCUGACUAUCCUGAAGAACAGGAACGUUUUAAAACUGCCAAUCAGAUGGAUGUACUUAGAAUUUGGAUACUUGAUCCUGAGAAAGCUUCUUCUGCAGAGUUGAAUAAUAAAGCCGAAGUGCCUUCCCUGGUGGGCAGCCUGGAUAUUAUCUGCAUCUCCACGAUACAUGAGUUUUCUGUAGCUUUCAAUUGAGUCGUUAACUUGUGGUUCCUCUGUUGUCUCUAUUCCAUCAUCUUCCUGCUCCAUGGAUUUAAACAGGUCUUGGCAAAUUGCCAAGUCUUUAAAUUGAACGAACAAGGACUUCUUCAAUCUACUUUAGUUUUGUGUAAACAACUUUUCCCAGGAACAAUAACAAAUUGGAUUUCCAGACAACAUUCCCUCAACAUCAACUAAGUUAAUAAUGACGUUUGUUCAAAAGGAAUGUGUCUUAUCUUGACUUCAAAACAAUCGAAUACCGGACAUCUGAAUUUCUCCGGGCAAAGUGGAAAAACACUUUAUUGGCUCUCUUCCAAGCCAGCUGAACUAUCUUUCAUUUAAUCUUACAGAUGCCAUUCAAAAUUAAAGCUUUCCAGCUUCAA
Amblyraja radiata (thorny skate) is the source of this 585-nucleotide long non-coding RNA. RefSeq lists it as uncharacterized. The transcript is spliced from 3 exons. The record is from RefSeq and is a predicted model, not a curated record. Lineage: Eukaryota; Metazoa; Chordata; Chondrichthyes; Rajiformes; Rajidae.